This 88-nucleotide transfer RNA is filed under the name Clostridia bacterium. RNAcentral describes it as "tRNA-Ser". It matches the Rfam family "tRNA". Rfam says of the family: Transfer RNA (tRNA) molecules are approximately 80 nucleotides in length. Their secondary structure includes four short double-helical elements and three loops (D, anti-codon, and T loops). Lineage: Bacteria; Bacillati; Bacillota; Clostridia. The record is from RNAcentral.
GCAACGCGGCUCGGACGGUAAGAGGUCGGUUUGCUAAACCGAAGCCGGAUGAAAGUCCGAAAAGGUUCGACUCCUUUGCGUUGCGCCA